AUUGAACGCUGGCGGCAUGCCUAACACAUGCAAGUCGAACGGCAGCGCGGAGAGCUUGCUCUCUGGCGGCGAGUGGCGGACGGGUGAGUAAUGCAUAGGAAUCUGCCCAGUAGCGGGGGACAACCUGGGGAAACUCAGGCUAAUACCGCAUACGCCCUACGGGGGAAAGCGGGGGACCUUCGGGCCUCGCACUAUUGGAUGAGCCUAUGUCAGAUUAGCUUGUUGGUGGGGUAACGGCCUACCAAGGCGACGAUCUGUAGCUGGUCUGAGAGGACGAUCAGCCACACUGGGACUGAGACACGGCCCAGACUCCUACGGGAGGCAGCAGUGGGGAAUAUUGCACAAUGGGCGAAAGCCUGAUGCAGCAAUGCCGCGUGUGUGAAGAAGGC
This 389-nucleotide ribosomal RNA is filed under the name uncultured bacterium. RNAcentral's name for it is "bacterial SSU rRNA". It matches the Rfam family "Bacterial small subunit ribosomal RNA", at positions 29 to 415 of the family's 1533-position model. The record is from RNAcentral.